Molecule: ribosomal RNA, 403 nt
Filed under: bacterium
Lineage: Bacteria
Description: partial 16S ribosomal RNA
Rfam family: Bacterial small subunit ribosomal RNA
Source: RNAcentral
UGGGGAAUAUUGCACAAUGGGGGAAACCCUGAUGCAGCGACGCCGCGUGGACGAAGAAGGUAUUCGUAUCGUAAAGUUCUGUCCUAUGGGAAGAUAAUGACAGUACCAUAGAAGAAAGCUCCGGCUAAAUACGUGCCAGCAGCCGCGGUAAUACGUAUGGAGCGAGCGUUGUCCGGAAUUAUUGGGCGUAAAGGGUACGCAGGCGGUUUAAUAAGUCGAAUGUUAAAGAUCGGGGCUCAACCCCGUAAAGCAUUGGAAACUGAUAAACUUGAGUAGUGGAGAGGAAAGUGGAAUUCCUAGUGUAGUGGUGAAAUACGUAGAUAUUAGGAGGAAUACCAGUAGCGAAGGCGACUUUCUGGACACAAACUGACGCUAAGGUACGAAAGCGUGGGGAGCAAACAGG